AGAGAGCCAUAACUUUGAUUGCAUUCCUUGGUUCUUUGGCUCUUGUGGUCUAGCCUUUCUUUGCAGACCAAGUCACUGAGGUUCUCACAUGCUUAGGACAUAUAUGCUCCUAACAAGCAGCUCAGACUAGACCAUGAUUUUAGAUCAGGACUAUGUGCAGAAGAAAGUGUGAGAGGAAAUGGGUGUUAUCAGGGCAAAACAAACCCAAAUGCCUUAACCAAAAAGGGAUUCUUUUCCUCUUCUGCGAGCCGCUGUAGAAAGUCAGCAUGAUAAAGUAUGCAUGUGUAUUUGACACUCAAUUACAUGUGAGUGCUCUGCCUUUUAUUUUCAGUUGUCCCCAAGUCUGCUAAACAAAACACCUCUUCCCUGGUGAGGGUGAUCACUGGCUAUGAGCUGGAGGCUCUCACUGCCAGGGUCUGGGAAGUUGCUCUUCCGGAAGGGUGGUGGAGACCCUGGGAAUUGGACCAGCCCGGCUCACAAGUAUGAAGAGAAUGUCGGGAGAGGAAGUGGUGGCUCUGAGUCAGCAUGAGUCAUCUGGUUCCAGUGACAAUGAAGUCUGAGGUGUGCGCCUUUUUCUUUUUCUUGUCUUUUUUUUUUUUUUUUCCUUAAUCAUGUGGACAUCUCUGAGAAUGGAGGGAACUCAGUGACUUUACAAUGGCUGCUUUCUAAGUUUCAAAGUGACUUUCCAGGCAAGCUGUACACAUCUUGGGAUCUUCACAGCACAGUGGCUGGGAAGGUGGAGCCAUUCACCAGCUUCUCCCGAAUAACUGGGAGCUGAAACAGGAAGCCCCAUGACACAGUUGAUCGAAAA
Non-coding RNA from Cricetulus griseus (Chinese hamster), 811 nucleotides. The record is from RefSeq and is a predicted model, not a curated record. Lineage: Eukaryota; Metazoa; Chordata; Mammalia; Rodentia; Cricetidae.